This 253-nucleotide ribosomal RNA is filed under the name uncultured bacterium. Its description in RNAcentral is "partial 16S ribosomal RNA". It matches the Rfam family "Bacterial small subunit ribosomal RNA", at positions 524 to 776 of the family's 1533-position model. The record is from RNAcentral.
UACGUAGGGGGCAAGCGUUGUCCGGAUUUACUGGGCGUAAAGAGUGCGUAGGCGGUUCUUGAAGUCCGCUGUGAAAGCCCCGGGCUUAACCUGGGAAUGGCAGUGGAAACUGGAGGACUUGAAUUGAGCAGAGGGGGGUGGAAUGCCGCGUGUAGCAGUGAAAUGCGUAGAGAUGCGGCGGAACACCGAUGGCGAAGGCAGCCCCCUGGGCUUAAAUUGACGCUGAGGCACGAAAGCGUGGGGAGCAAACAGG